UGAGAGUACUCGUCGAAUAAGCAUCGGCUAACUCCGUGCCAGCAGCCGCGGUAAUACGGAGGAUGCAAGCGUUAUCCGGAUUUAUUGGGUUUAAAGGGUGCGUAGGCUGUUCGGUAAGUCAGAGGUGAAAGCCCGGAGCUCAACUCCGGAACUGCCUUUGAUACUGCCGGGCUUGAAUACGGAUGCCGUGGGAGGAAUGAGUAGUGUAGCGGUGAAAUGCAUAGAUAUUACUCAGAACACCGAUUGCGAAGGCAUCUCACGAAUCCGUUAUUGACGCUGAGGCACGAAAGCGUGGGGAUCAAACAGGAUUAGAUACCCUG
RNAcentral lists this ribosomal RNA (320 nucleotides) under uncultured bacterium. RNAcentral describes it as "bacterial SSU rRNA". It matches the Rfam family "Bacterial small subunit ribosomal RNA", at positions 470 to 789 of the family's 1533-position model. The record is from RNAcentral.